This 273-nucleotide unclassified non-coding RNA is filed under the name Hevea brasiliensis (rubber tree). Lineage: Eukaryota; Viridiplantae; Streptophyta; Magnoliopsida; Malpighiales; Euphorbiaceae. The record is from RNAcentral.
AAAUUGAAAAUGGAGAUAAAAAUAUUUUAAUAAUUUUAUUGUAAUUAAUGAUAAAUUUAAUGGUGACCCAUUUGUGUAUAUAAUUAAAUUUGAAAAAUUAAAUUGCUUGUUUUAAAAAUAUAAAAAUUAAAUUACAGAUGAAUUAAAUUGUAAUUUAUUUGUUAAAUGGUAAAGGUUUAAUACAUCCUGCUCAGAUUUGAGAGCCAACCUAAUUGGGCUCGCUCGGUGUAUAACACUAAAGCCUUUUGAGCCUUCUCUUAGGUCGCACCUAUG